UAAUACGUAGGGUGCGAGCGUUAAUCGGAAUUACUGGGCGUAAAGCGUGCGCAGGCGGUUCUCCAAGUCCGUUGUGAAAGCCCCGGGCUCAACCUGGGAAUGGCAGUGGAAACUAGGGGACUGGAAUCUGGCAGAGGGGGGUGGAAUGCCGCGUGUAGCAGUGAAAUGCGUAGAGAUGCGGCGGAACACCGAUGGCGAAGGCAGCCCCCUGGGCUGAGAUUGACGCUCAGGCACGAAAGCGUGGGGAGCAAACAGGAUUAGAUACCCUGGUAGUCCACGCCCUAAACGAUGUCUACUAGUUGUCGGGUCUUAAUUGACUUGGUAACGCAGCUAACGCGUGAAGUAGACCGCCUGGGGAGUACGGUCGCAAGAUUA
This 375-nucleotide ribosomal RNA is filed under the name uncultured bacterium. RNAcentral's name for it is "bacterial SSU rRNA". It matches the Rfam family "Bacterial small subunit ribosomal RNA", at positions 521 to 896 of the family's 1533-position model. The record is from RNAcentral.